This is a long non-coding RNA of Panicum virgatum (switchgrass), 2009 nucleotides long. RefSeq lists it as uncharacterized. The transcript has 3 exons. NCBI's taxonomy places the organism in Eukaryota, Viridiplantae, Streptophyta, Magnoliopsida, Poales, Poaceae. The record is from RefSeq and is a predicted model, not a curated record.
GCGACAGCGCGUCCACGCUCGCACCGCCGUCGGCGGAGCUACUGGAGUCGUCGUGGCAGUGAACCCCCGUAUCAGCGUAUCCAACCCUAGCGCAAUUCACCACCUCAUCUCUCCCUCCUCUUUCUCGCUCCCCGCCGCCGCCGCACCACAUUGCUCACCACGUGUGCCUCCCUACUCACCGCCGUCAGUGGAACAUGGGUUGUGGGGUGCCGCACGAGCUUGCCGCAGUUGCUAGAGAGCUCCUUCGUCCACCUGCCGCAUGGUGCCCCCUGAGGUAGUAGCCUCAUCUCCUCCCCCUCCGCAACUCUCUCUCCAUCUCUUUUUUCCCCUUCUCUGACUUUCCACUCCAUCUCCACCACCGAGGUCAAGCGUGGUGGUGGCCCAAGCAGAAGCAUGGUGAUGGAUCCAUGGUCGAUCUCGACAGUGGUAACCUCAGCUACGGACAUGAAGGGGGGUGAGGAUCUGGUUUUCGGCGAGAUCUCAAUGAGAAAUAUGGCCUUGGCUUUGCCUUCCCCCUCAAUUUGUGAUGCUGUCUCUCCAGUCAUGGACCAGUGAAUUAUCUGAGAGCUUUGUUGUCAAAGGAAUGCAGACAUUGCCUUUAAAUCCAAGGAUUUUGCAACUGCCAUCGAGUGUUACUCAAGGGCUUGCGGACAGGGUUAUCUCCAGGCACAGCAUUUCCAUCUGCAGUACACCGUGUAUUGUUACUCGCUACAGAUACUUGCCUGCAGGGUGUGCCAUCAUGAGGUAAUACUAAUAACUCCCUUGCUUAAUCUGAUGCAUAUAGUCCCAUAAACAUCAUAGUAGGAUAGGACAAAUAGCACCCUCAUGAUAUAUGUGAAGAGUUAUUAUAUAUGACGCUUCUGUGUAUGGAUUAAGUACAUUGGCAAUGGGUGUCCUCUCAGAAAUAUGGUAAGUUGGCUCUGAGUGUUGAUUCUUUGUUCCGUGUGCUCUACUACUCUUUAAAUUCUUAUAAGCAGAAAUUUUGUCUAUUACAAGUGUCAGCUUUGUUACCUUUGAUAUUCUGUCAGGUCUCGGUCUCAAGUAAUCUGUUAAAGCAUACAUGUAAUGAAGUAAGUGGCUUAUGUCUUAUACUUUUGUGUGUUAGACAUUCUGAUUUGAAAAUCACAUUUAGAUAUAUAAAUGUACUUCUUUAAUUGCUGGCAACUAUAGCUCAUAUGAGAUGUACUGCUUUACCUGUAGCUCGUGUUUGGGCCAUUUGAUCAGCAUGGUUGCUUCUUGCUGCUAGCAAGCAACAGGCAACUUGAUUUUUUGCUUGCAGCACAGAAAGCAGGUUGAGUUAGAUGAACCAUACAAAUGAUGGAGUGGAGAUAUGAUUGUUUCAAUUUUAGACAGAUACCUUUUAUGAGGCGACACCUCAGUUUCUCAAUUGCUUUGCCCAUCCGAUUAGACAGAUGCUUUGUGGGCUUGUGGCUGUUAGUGUGCUUAGUGUUAAUGGUUACUGCGAAGGAACCAAACCUUUUACUAAGAACUAAUUUACACAUGUAGCAUGAAAUUUGUUUUAUAGUUCUGCACUCAAUCUGGAAUUUAUAGUUUGUUACUUUUUAAAUAAUUUUUUUGACAAUAGUUUGACAUCAGAACUCCUAUUUCUAAGGUUUGACAUUUAUAAAGCUGUAAAGGAUCCAAAGAUCUAUCCAAUGAAAUUUCACAUACUUAAUUAGCUCCUUUUGAUAACAGCUUAUAUGGGUGUUUUAGAUGAUCCGAAGCAUUCUUCCAAGACUGCAGAAGUGCAGAAGUGCUGGCAUGAGUUUUGGAUCAAUUCACAUGAAUGAAAGCUUCAGAAAUACCUUAGUUCGGACAAAAAGACAUGAAAUUUAUCUUCAUUUGUUAUUCGUUUGUGCUUGAAUGAGGUGAAAUGUUAGCGAGGCACUGUACCUUGUUUUUGAGGUUUAGUGUACUUUGCCUAGAUGUAUGGUCGUCAAAUGGUGAUAAAUAUAGGAGCAUAUUUUACCUUCUGACAAUAAAGGCUGAAAUAUUUAUGUUAUCUUAAA